GACGAACGCUGGCGGCGUGCUUAACACAUGCAAGUCGAACGGAAAGGCCCUGCUUGCCGGGUACUCGAGUGGCGAACGGGUGAGUAACACGUGGGUGAUCUGCCCUGCACUUCGGGAUAAGCCUGGGAAACUGGGUCUAAUACCGGAUAGGAGCCAUUUUUAGUGUGAUGGUUGGAAAGUUUUUUCGGUGUAGGGUGAGCUCGCGGCCUAUCAGCUUGUUGGUGGGGUAAUGGCCUACCAAGGCGGCGACGGGUAGCCGGCCUGAGAGGGUGGACGGCCACAUUGGGACUGAGAUACGGCCCAGACUCCUACGGGAGGCAGCAGUGGGGAAUAUUGCACAAUGGGCGCAAGCCUGAUGCAGCGACGCCGCGUGGGGGAUGACGGCCUUCGGGUUGUAAACUCCUUUCGCUAGGGACGAAGCUUUUUGUGACGGUACCUAGAUAAGAAGCACCGGCUAACUACGUG
RNAcentral lists this ribosomal RNA (465 nucleotides) under uncultured bacterium. RNAcentral describes it as "partial 16S ribosomal RNA". It matches the Rfam family "Bacterial small subunit ribosomal RNA", at positions 28 to 507 of the family's 1533-position model. The record is from RNAcentral.